RNAcentral lists this transfer RNA (100 nucleotides) under Burkholderia gladioli. RNAcentral describes it as "tRNA-Glu(ctc)". Lineage: Bacteria; Pseudomonadati; Pseudomonadota; Betaproteobacteria; Burkholderiales; Burkholderiaceae. The record is from RNAcentral. RNAcentral also lists the same sequence under 1 other name.
CGGCGACGGUGGCGCGCAUCGAUUGCGGACGCACGCUCUCGGCGCGCGCCAGCGCGGAAACCGUGGCGGGACCGUCGCGUUCGAGGCGCAGCAGCACCGA